GCUUUUAACGGAAAAAAGCCCUUCCACUGGUCUUAGGCGCCAGCACUCUUGGUGCAAAUCCAAGUAAAAGCU
RNAcentral lists this transfer RNA (72 nucleotides) under Mantidactylus guttulatus. RNAcentral's name for it is "tRNA-Leu(CUN)". The record is from RNAcentral. Lineage: Eukaryota; Metazoa; Chordata; Amphibia; Anura; Mantellidae.